This is an RNA transcript of Rhododendron vialii, 1548 nucleotides long. RefSeq lists it as uncharacterized. The record is from RefSeq and is a predicted model, not a curated record. Lineage: Eukaryota; Viridiplantae; Streptophyta; Magnoliopsida; Ericales; Ericaceae. The transcript is spliced from 5 exons.
UCUAUAAGAAGAGGGAGUUUUGGUCAAUUUUUCGCUUGCCACUUUUCUGAUUUGGACGAAUUUAGCCUUCAAUUUACGGACAUGGAGUGUUAGCCGGCUGCCCAUAAUUGUAAUUGUGCCUAAUUGCCUUAUGGCCCACGUGGGUGCAUCACACGCAGCCGCGUAUCUUGAUCUUCCUUUCCAUCACAUAAUACACACACUGACACACAUGCAGUCUCUCUCUUCUGCAAUUUUCCCUCUCUCUCUCUCUCUCUCUCUCUCUCUCUAUUCUGCAAUCCUUCAUCACGACUCCAUCGCCGUCCACGUAAAGUCUUUGGCCAGAUCGGGACUUCAACGCUUUUUCGGACGGAAGCAAUUUUUUCGUUCGCCUUCCCCCGACCGAUGCAGCCAUGGGUCUGGUCUGGAUCUGAAUCAGGUUCUUCAACUCACACUAGGGUUCCUCUCGUGCUCUGAAAAUCGAAGGACGAUAAAAGUGGAAAUAAAACAAUUGAUUUGGUCCCCCACAUUCCCAGGUGGGUUUUCUACCUGGAAAUUAAGCCUUCCAUUUACUACCAGGUAAUACGAGCUUUCGAUAGAGAAUAUAUGUGUAGCAAAGUUGGCUAUCAUUGCCAACAAUUGCCCUCCUCUUUGGAAGUCUGAGAUAAUGUACUACGCCAUGUUGGCGAAAGUUGGAGUUCACCACUACAAUGGGAGUAAGUUUAGUGCCAUACAGAUUUAUUUACUAGCUUUGUUAUUUCUUUUCUUUAUUUUUUGUUUUGUUUCUUUCCUUUAUGCAUUUAAUUUUUUCUGUCGUAUUGAACUUCUUAUUGAUGUCUAUUUUGUUUUUGAAGCAAGCAUGAAAUUAUGGAUGCAUGGAAUUUGACAAAAAUAGGAAUCAUCCACUUUUCUGAAAUACCAUGGGAAAAGAGGGAUCAUCCACUUUUCGGAGAAUCCAAAAGGGGUUGCAGUGACACAUAUGGAAAUGUUCAAAAUAUAGAGCUUCAACGAAAUGUGCUAGCUGCCAAGGGAACGAGGAAUGGUCACAAUUAGGACCCUUUAUGAUCUUGCAGAUGCAACACCUUUGCUACAAAUGCAAUGGUACGAGCGAGAGCAUUAAAGAGAAAGGCCAAUGCCCUCAAUGCAAGAGACGAAGCUGCUGGAAAUUAUCGUGGAGAAGAACAUGCAGAAUGGACGGAAAAUCACAUUAGCUAGAGAAGCUGAUGAGACGGUAUGCUAUUACUCUUACACUGUCCGACAAGAUUACAAGUGGAGAUGGCAUGUUCAUGUUCGAUGGUUCUCUUGCUAGAUUUUUGGUUAGGAAGAGUUUCCUUUUGUUUUUGGUUAGUUAGAUUGUCAGUUCUAUUUCCCCGGCCCCAGCUGAGGUUUUGAAGUACUCUAGUGCUUUACACCCUUUCAUUAAGGAUUUUUUCCCCCCUCAAGGUCUCAGUGUAUUAUUACAACUUCAAGUCUAAAUACUUUUGCUUUGUCUAAGUCCCACAAACUCUACUUUAAUGCUAGGCAUUUUGCAAUCAUAUAUAUACCUGUAAGCAAAAUCGUGCAGUUAAUGUA